This 500-nucleotide ribosomal RNA is filed under the name Halomonas sp. ZXM070. Its description in RNAcentral is "bacterial SSU rRNA". It matches the Rfam family "Bacterial small subunit ribosomal RNA", at positions 79 to 582 of the family's 1533-position model. The record is from RNAcentral. Lineage: Bacteria; Pseudomonadati; Pseudomonadota; Gammaproteobacteria; Oceanospirillales; Halomonadaceae. RNAcentral also lists the same sequence under 1 other name.
GCUACCCGCUGACGAGCGGCGGACGGGUGAGUAAUGCAUAGGAAUCUGCCCGAUAGUGGGGGAUAACCUGGGGAAACCCAGGCUAAUACCGCAUACGUCCUACGGGAGAAAGGGGGCUCCGGCUCCCGCUAUUGGAUGAGCCUAUGUCGGAUUAGCUAGUUGGUGAGGUAAAGGCUCACCAAGGCGACGAUCCGUAGCUGGUCUGAGAGGAUGAUCAGCCACAUCGGGACUGAGACACGGCCCGAACUCCUACGGGAGGCAGCAGUGGGGAAUAUUGGACAAUGGGCGAAAGCCUGAUCCAGCCAUGCCGCGUGUGUGAAGAAGGCCCUCGGGUUGUAAAGCACUUUCAGCGAGGAAGAACGCCUAGUGGUUAAUACCCAUUAGGAAAGACAUCACUCGCAGAAGAAGCACCGGCUAACUCCGUGCCAGCAGCCGCGGUAAUACGGAGGGUGCAAGCGUUAAUCGGAAUUACUGGGCGUAAAGCGCGCGUAGGUGGCUUG